RNAcentral lists this unclassified non-coding RNA (263 nucleotides) under plant metagenome. Its description in RNAcentral is "partial contains small subunit ribosomal RNA, internal transcribed spacer 1, and 5.8S ribosomal RNA". The record is from RNAcentral.
UUUCCGUAGGUGAACCUGCGGAAGGAUCAUUAUUGUAUAACCGAGGUGCGAGGGCUGUCGCUGACCCGAAAGGUCGUGCACGCACGAGUGCCCUCACCUACAUCCAUGUCACCCCUAUGUGCACCACCGCGUGGGUCGCCCUGUGGCUUGUUCGGUGGGGGGCUGACGUUGCCAAACAAACUUUGUAUGCAGUGUAGAAUGUAUUUUUUGUUUUUGAGAUCACGCAAUCAAUACAACUUUCAACAACGGAUCUCUUGGCUCUC